This 59-nucleotide transfer RNA is filed under the name Calamagrostis poaeoides. RNAcentral's name for it is "partial tRNA-Leu". Lineage: Eukaryota; Viridiplantae; Streptophyta; Magnoliopsida; Poales; Poaceae. The record is from RNAcentral.
GCUACGGACUUAAAAUCCGUCGACUUUAUAAGUCGUGAGGGUUCAAUCCUCUAUCCCCA